UUCUUAUCAAGAGAAGCUGAGGGAUCUGGCCCUGUGAAGCUUCAGCAACCUCUGACAACUGUCAGAAAGGUGCUAAUUCCUUGGGAGAUAAGAG
This 94-nucleotide non-coding RNA is filed under the name Virgibacillus necropolis. Its description in RNAcentral is "SAM-I sequence". It matches the Rfam family "SAM riboswitch aptamer (S box leader)". From Rfam's summary of the family: The SAM riboswitch is found upstream of a number of genes which code for proteins involved in methionine or cysteine biosynthesis in Gram-positive bacteria. The SAM riboswitch acts at the level of transcription termination control. The record is from Rfam by way of RNAcentral. Lineage: Bacteria; Bacillati; Bacillota; Bacilli; Caryophanales; Bacillaceae.